Molecule: ribosomal RNA, 1989 nt
Filed under: human gut metagenome
Description: bacterial LSU rRNA
Rfam family: Bacterial large subunit ribosomal RNA
Source: RNAcentral
UCAUAGGUGACUGUGGCUAACGCAGGGAAGUGAAACAUCUCAGUACCUGCAGGAAAGGAUAUUCCGUGAGUAGUGGCGAGCGAAAGCGGAUGAUGGCCAAACCUUGCGCGUGUGAUACCCGUCGGGGGUUGCGCGCGGGGUGUUGCGGGAUCGCGUGCGCCGGCUCCGACGGGCCGGCCGGCAGUUGCAGAAAACCAUGUGUCAGGGGAACCGGGUUGAAUACCGGGCCGCAGAGGGUGAGGGCCCCGUACCUGAACGCGCAUGGUCUGCCGAUCGCGUCUCCCAAGUAGCACGGGUCCCGUGGAACCCCGUGCGAAUCCGCCCAGACCGUUGGGUAAGCCUGAAUAUUCCUGUCUGACCGAUAGCGAACGAGUACCGUGAGGGAAAGGUGAAAAGUACCCCGGGAGGGGAGUGAAACAGUCUCUGAAACCGUGCGCCUACAAUCCGUCGGAGCCCUUUUGUGGGGUGACGGCGUGCCUAUCGAAAAAUGAGUCUGCGAGUCAGUGGCAUGUGGCGAGCAUAACCCGUGUGGGGUAUGCGUAGCGAAGGCGAGUCUUAAAAGGCGUUUGAGUCGCGUGUCCUGGACCCGAAGCGGGAUGAUCUAGCCCUGAGCAGGUUGAAGCGCGGGUAAGACCGCGUGGAGGACCGAACCCACCUGGGUUGAAAACCGGGGGGAUGACUUGGGGCUAGGGGUGAAAGGCCAAUCAAAUUCCGUGAUAGCUGGUUCUCUCCGAAAUGCAUUUGGGUGCAGCGUCGGGUCAUUACGUCCCGGGGGUAGAGCUACUGGAUGCUUGCGGGCCCGUAUCGGGUACCAACAGCAACCAAACUCCGAAUACCGGUGACGCGUAUCCCGGCAGUGAGUCGGCGGGGGAUAAGCUUCGUCGUCGAAAGGGAAACAGCCCAGACCGUCGUCUAAGGUCCCGAAGCGUGUGCUAAGUGGGAAAGGAUGUGGAGUCGCAUAGACAGCCAGGAGGUUGGCUCAGAAGCAGCCACCCUUGAAAGAGUGCGUAACAGCUCACUGGUCUAGUGGUUCCGCGCCGACAAUGUAGCGGGGCUCAAGCACACCACCGAAGACGCGGCAGUAUUUUGUACUGGGUAGGAGAGCGUCCCAUGAGGGGCGAAGCGGCCGUGUGAACGCGCCGUGGACUUCAUGGGAGUGAGAAUGCAGACAUGAGUAGCGAGAGACGGGUGAAGAUCCCGUCCGCUGGAUGACCAAGGGUUCCAGGGCCACGUUCAUCGUCCCUGGGUGAGUCGGGUCCUAAGGCGAGGCCGACAGGCGUAGUCGAAUGGAUGAACGGGUCGAUAUUCCCGUACCGGCUUUCAGCCGCCAAAACCGAGGCUUGGAGUACUAACCUCCGGGUCCGGGCUUACUGCUCCUUCGGGGGCGGGAUGCCCUGGCCUGUUGGGACCGAUCCUUGUAGUAGGUCAGCGCAGGAGUGACGCAGAAGGGUAGCCGGCCGCGGAGGUGGUCUUCCGUGGUCAAGCACGCAGGGCGUGGGACAGGCAAAUCCGUCCCGCAUGGGUCCGAGGUGCGAUGAUGGGGGCCUUAUGGCCCGAUAUCCGGUGAUCCCGGCUGCCGAGAAAAGCUUCGGCGUCAGGCUCAAAGCCGCCCGUACCCCAAACCGACACAGGUGGUCAGGUAGAGAAUACCAAAGCGAUCGAGCGAAUCCUGGUCAAGGAACUCGGCAAAUCACUCCCGUUCCUUCGGUUUAAGGGAGACCCCCGAUGGUGAACACACUUGCUGUGGGAGCUUUUGGGGGUGGCACAGACCAGGGGGUAGCGACUGUUUACCAAAAACACAGGUGCAUGCGAAGGCGCAAGCCGCUGUAUAUGCACUGACGCCUGCCCGGUGCCGGAAGGUUAAGAGGAUCCGUCAGCCUUCGGGUGAAGCGGUGAAUUCAAGCCCCGGUAAACGGCGGUGGUAACUAUAACCAUCCUAAGGUAGCGAAAUUCCUUGUCGGGUAAGUUCCGACCUGCACGAAUGGCGUA